RNAcentral lists this ribosomal RNA (252 nucleotides) under uncultured bacterium. Its description in RNAcentral is "partial 16S ribosomal RNA". It matches the Rfam family "Bacterial small subunit ribosomal RNA", at positions 524 to 776 of the family's 1533-position model. The record is from RNAcentral.
UACGGAGGAUGCGAGCGUUAUCCGGAUUUAUUGGGUUUAAAGGGUGCGUAGGCGGGAUGCCAAGUCAGCGGUAAAAAUGCGGUGCUCAACGCCGUCGAGCCGUUGAAACUGGCGUUCUUGAGUGGGCGAGAAGUAUGCGGAACGCGUGGUGUAGCGGUGAAGUGCAUAGAUAUCACGCAGAACUCCGAUUGCGAAGGCAGCAUACCGGCGCCCUACUGACGCUGAGGCACGAAAGCGUGGGUAUCGAACAGG